GAUGAACGCUGGCGGCGUGCCUAAUACAUGCAAGUCGAGCGAACAGACGAGGAGCUUGCUCCUCUGACGUUAGCGGCGGACGGGUGAGUAACACGUGGAUAACCUACCUAUAAGACUGGGAUAACUUCGGGAAACCGGAGCUAAUACCGGAUAAUAUAUUGAACCGCAUGGUUCAAUAGUGAAAGACGGUUUUGCUGUCACUUAUAGAUGGAUCCGCGCCGCAUUAGCUAGUUGGUAAGGUAACGGCUUACCAAGGCAACGAUGCGUAGCCGACCUGAGAGGGUGAUCGGCCACCCUGGAACUUAGACACGGUCCAGACUCCUACGGGAGGCAGCAGUAGGGAAUCUUCCGCAAUGGGCGAAAGCCUGACGGAGCAACGCCGCGUGAGUGAUGAAGGUCUUCGGAUCGUAAAACUCUGUUAUUAGGGAAGAACAAAUGUGUAAGUAACUAUGCACGUCUUGACGGUACCUAAUCAGAAAGCCACGGCUAACUACGUG
RNAcentral lists this ribosomal RNA (497 nucleotides) under uncultured bacterium. RNAcentral's name for it is "partial 16S ribosomal RNA". It matches the Rfam family "Bacterial small subunit ribosomal RNA", at positions 28 to 507 of the family's 1533-position model. The record is from RNAcentral.